GAUGAACGCUGGCGGCGUGCCUAAUACAUGCAAGUCGAGCGAACGGACGAGAAGCUUGCUUUUCUGAUGUUAGCGGCGGACGGGUGAGUAACACGUGGAUAACCUACCUAUAAGACUGGGAUAACUUCGGGAAACCGGAGCUAAUACCGGAUAAUAUUUUGAACCGCAUGGUUCAAAAGUGAAAGACGGUCUUGCUGUCACUUAUAGAUGGAUCCGCGCUGCAUUAGCUAGUUGGUAAGGUAACGGCUUACCAAGGCAACGAUGCAUAGCCGACCUGAGAGGGGGAUCGGCCACACGGGAACUGAGACACGGUCCAGACUCCUACGGGAGGCAGCAGUAGGGAAUCUUCCGCAAUGGGCGAAAGCCUGACGGAGCAACGCCGCGUGAGUGAUGAAGGUCUUCGGAUCGUAAAACUCUGUUAUUAGGGAAGAACAUAUGUGGAAGUAACUGUGCACAGCUUGACGGUACCUAAUCAGAAAGCCACGGCUAACUACGUG
RNAcentral lists this ribosomal RNA (497 nucleotides) under uncultured bacterium. RNAcentral's name for it is "partial 16S ribosomal RNA". It matches the Rfam family "Bacterial small subunit ribosomal RNA", at positions 28 to 507 of the family's 1533-position model. The record is from RNAcentral.